This 569-nucleotide long non-coding RNA is filed under the name Setaria italica (foxtail millet). Its description in RNAcentral is "long non-coding RNA (SITA_LNC003199)". The record is from RNAcentral. Lineage: Eukaryota; Viridiplantae; Streptophyta; Magnoliopsida; Poales; Poaceae.
AAAUCCUUUUCCCGGCUGCACGCCCAUCCUUUGACGUAAUUGCUCAAUUCUCCAACCGAUUCCUUUGGUUUCAUCAUAAAUUAAAAUUAUUCUCCAGCGGGCAUACAUUGAUGGGACGAAAUCCUUGUCCUAAUAGGCAAUUCAUUAUUCCGACAAUGUGAUUUAUGUAAUUUAUUACUACUAUCGAUAUAUAUAGCAGCAAUUUAUAUCUAGGCGCGUAUGCAGACCUUUGACGCUAGUGUAUGCAUAUAUGUCAAGUACAGGAGGGUUCCUUUUGUAAUAUGAGAUUCUUUUACGGUACGGACAGGAAGAAGAGAGAAAUCGAGAAGCAAGCCGGAGAAAAAGAAGAGGGAAGGGGAUUCCCACGCCGAGCAAUAUAGACCGUCCGAUAGGGACUUGGCUUGUGGAAGAUGGCCACCCGGAAGUGAUGAAGACCCUAGUGCUUGAUGACGGCCGCCGUCUGCUUGAUCUUACCUUUCUUUUCCAAAAAUAAUACGAGUGAGCUCUUUUCUUCUAUCUUUUUCCUGGCAUGGCCCUAAACAUGAACUCCUCCGGAUAAUCUCUGUCUA